RNAcentral lists this ribosomal RNA (564 nucleotides) under uncultured Glomeromycotina. RNAcentral describes it as "SSU rRNA". It matches the Rfam family "Eukaryotic small subunit ribosomal RNA", at positions 548 to 1114 of the family's 1831-position model. The record is from RNAcentral. Lineage: Eukaryota; Fungi; Glomeromycota.
UUGGAGGGCAAGUCUGGUGCCAGCAGCCGCGGUAAUUCCAGCUCCAAUAGCGUAUAUUAAAGUUGCUGCAGUUAAAAAGCUCGUAGUUGAAUUUCGGGACCAUCAUGUCGGUCGUGCCCCGGUACGUACUGGUAUUGUUGGUUUCUCCCUUCUGACGAACCAUGAUGUCAUUUAUUUGGUGUUGUGGGAAAUCAGGACUGUUACUUUGAAAAAAUUAGAGUGUUUAAAGCAGGCUCACGCUUGAAUACAUUAGCAUGGAAUAAUGAAAUAGGACGUUUGAUUCUAUUUUGUUGGUUUCUAGGAUCGACGUAAUGAUUAAUAGGGAUAGUUGGGGGCAUUAGUAUUCAAUUGUCAGAGGUGAAAUUCUUGGAUUUAUUGAUGACUAACUACUGCGAAAGCAUUUGCCAAGGAUGUUUUCAUUAAUCAAGAACGAAAGUUAGGGGAUCGAAGACGAUCAGAUACCGUCGUAGUCUUAACCAUAAACUAUGCCGACUAGGGAUCGGAUGAUGUUAAUUUUUUAAUGACUCAUUCGGCGCCUUACGGGAAACCAAAGUGUUUGGGUUC